CUCACGUGUCACGGAUGAGCGUUCCACAGGCUGCAGCCAAGUGCUCCUGCCUCACGUGUGUGACCACAGGAGCAGCCAGCUUCCAUGUGACUGGGGAGGAAUGUUGAGCACAGCUUUCAGUGUGCUUUAAUGCAUGCCUGCAAAUUUCUACAGCUGUUGUAUAGUCGAGUGGAUUUCUUUUAUGAAGUGCUUGUAAGAUGUCAUUUAACAGGGUUGAUAUUGAAAAACAGCUCAUGCUUUUUCUCUUCUUUUACAUCAGCAGGGGUUUUGGAGCAGUGAUGCAGAGAAUUUGCAGGGAAGCCCAGGACAUCUUUCAGCCGAUGGGACCCAUACAUGAAAUGUAGUCCAGAAAUGGCUCCAAAGAACUUUCAGCAUCAAUCAACAAGAUAGAUGAAGAGGAAGAGAGAAGCAGAACUACUUUCCCACAUAUGAAGUCAAGAGGAAACCAAGAAUGUAAUGCACAGAUGAGCAUCUUGGAACAUAUCAAGUAUAUGCAUCUCUUUGGACCAUCAAAUCUUUUUACAUGUAUUUGGAACCUUUGAAAAGAAAGUGGAGAAUAGGAGAGCAGUUGAAUAAUAGAUUCAGAGAGAAGCUGCUUGUGAAAUGAAUACAGAUCUACAUAAAUGAAGAGGGGAACAAUACAAAAGAAAAAAAACAAAAGAAUCUAUCACAGAAAGACAGUGUUUAUGCUAAUGAAAAUUAUCACAAUUAGCUGUUAGACUAGUCUUCUGAUAAGAUAUUGAACCAAACCAAAAUGGACCUCUCUCCCUCAGCACUACUGAAGUGAGUAAUUUUUUUGUGAGUGAAAUUGUUUCAGUGUCACAGGGCGAGGAAAUGAUAAACAUCACUAUAAUCUCUUGCACUGUAACAGAGCCAUGGAGUAUAGCAGGAAGUGAAAUCUAAGCAUACCUUGGGGUGAAAAAAAACAAGUUUAAAUAUUAGGAUCUUGCAUGUUUUCUAAUCAUUUCAGAUCUUUCAUCUUCCCGAAAUGUGGGAUGAAGAUACGCUUUCUUAUGAAGCAGAGAACCCAAACAGUUUCAUACUUGUUCAUAUGACUCCAGGAGCUGGUUUUAUCACAGAGAAAGUACAUCAUGGGAUUCAUAACAGCAUUUGCAAAGCUUGGUCACACUGGGUCAUGUGAAAUUGUGAUCUUGUCACUCAACACAGAUCAGUGGCUGUUGAGUGCAAAGGAAGCUGCCUGGAUGUUUGAAUCAUCAAAUUUUCAUUAUAGUAAAAGAUGGAGGAGUCGGUGGUUACGUGCUGCACUGCUUGGUGGAUACACGCCUGGCUAUAGUAGGUUGAAAGGAAAUCAAGGGUGGUGCUGCUAACAUUCCACCCUCAGCUCCCUAUUCACCUCUCAUCAUCCACCCUUGCAUUUCAACUCAAUCAUUUUACCCACCCACCUAGUUUCCAUGUGAAAUUGUGCUAAUGGAUGUCUGUCCCACAAUACACAGGGAGACUUGAGCUGUUUUUGUAAUUUGCAACUUUCUUUUGAAUUUCAAGUGUUUCCAACUUGCAAAAUCCUGGUUUGGGUCAACAUCUGGACUCCAUCCAUGCGUGUGUAAUUCAAGGAUCAUAGCACAUAGAAGUUAGAGGUUGAUCAUCAAAAUUUCCUUGUGGUUCAGGGACAUUAGAUACUGGGAUUUUGCUAUAAUUCUGUGUCUAGCAGGAAGGAAAGGGCCAGAAAGGGAACUGAUAAUGAUUUGAAUGGAGUAGGACCUUGGGCAAUUGUGUUCUGUGUUCCCUGCAAGCUCUGCACAGUCAUUAACACUGACGAAGCAUUAGAGACGUGUGGUGCCAGUUAGAGGUCAGUCCUUCCAGGAGCCCUUGCCAUAUUUUUAUGUCCACAUCUCCUACCUGUGUCUUGGCAGAACUAGAGCAACACAGUGGAACACCAGACUUUACACACCUUGUCUACAUUACCCUCUUCCAAAGGCCUUUCACUUUCUGUUCUCAGUCCAAACUUCCCUUUUUCUUUAUUUUGUCUUCUCCUUUUAGUUUCUCUCCUUUUCCUUCACUCCUUUGGUCUAUCGGAAAUCUCCCUCAUGCCAGGAGAGGCCAAAACUGAACAAUCAAGAGGGCAUCUGGCAGGAAAGAAGCAUCAGGUUGCAUUGUGAACUUUUAUGGUACUUGCAGCAUGGCCUGUUUUUACAAUCAACUGCCGAGAGAAGAUGUUCAAGAGGAUGUGUUCGGCAGCAGAUCAGGGCACAGCAGCCAGGUGGGAUUCCUGGUGCAGAGCUGGCCAAGUCUCCCAGCUGAAGUUUCAUUCUGGGCUAUAGAGGAGUCUUCAAUUACUGACUGAAUAUUUUUUGGUGUCAGGGCCUCAGUUAAAUGUGUAGGAGAGGAGCUAGGCAGAAGUGACAGCAUUGGUAGAUUUAUAUUAGUGGUCAGAGCAAGCCUGGCUGCACAUGGGGCAGCAGGCACUGGCCUCUGUUUCUUUCCUCUGUCCGCUGUGAACAUUUUACCUUGCUUGCACUGUCAGAGGCUGUCCCAGAUCCUAGGCUGUAGCAUUGUUUUCUCUCUCCUUCUGGUCCAAUAAUUAUUCAACUGGUCUAUGCAAAGUGGAAUUCCUUCAGGCAGAGUUGCCCUUCUGUAUCUGUUUAGAGACUUCACUGAACACAUGCUGUCUUAGGUAUACUCAGGCUGAGCAAAAGCCCUAAAUUUAAAUGCUGCUCAGAUGGAUCAGGGACCUUAGCUACUGGCAGGGAGUUUAGGACAAGGACAAGAUCCUUGUGGGUUCACUUUGAAAAAACUUACCUAUUUGGUUUUUGCCCUAUUAUUACAACUCAGGGAGCCAAAGGAUUCUUUAGACACAGGCUGUCUUGGCCUUGCUUUGAUUUAUAUAUAUUUGGAGAAUGUAACUUCUAGAUGUGUUGCAAGUAGCUGGAAGAAGCCCUGAGGACUCAAAUGCCUCCAAGCCCAGGGAUGGGGUUUUAAGGAGACAAGACAAUAGACAUGCUCUUUUGUAUUUUCAGUGCAGGGUGAAAAAAAGCCGCAUGCUUCAUCCCUUCACAUUAACAUAGGAAAAUCAUCUCACUGAAGUGCACAUCCUCCUAUUUCUGAGGCAAAGCAGAAGAAUAUGAGACAACAGAAACAAUGGAAACUGCAACAAAUUAAUAAAUUUUAUUCUAACACAAGGCCAAGACUUCAGAAGUGUUUAUUUCAUCCUUAAAUAGUUCAGCUUUCAUCCUGAUCAUCUCCUGAUUUUUUUUACCUGGCAGAGCCCUGCUGUAUGGAAUAAAAUAGAACAGAAACCUGCACACAUAGAAAUUCAUCCAAUCCUGUCACACAUCAGCCCUUUCUGCAGAAUUGCCCAGUAAUGUUUAAUUGUCAAACAACUCUUUACUGCAAAAACAUUA
Long non-coding RNA from Poecile atricapillus (Black-capped chickadee), 3359 nucleotides. RefSeq lists it as uncharacterized. Lineage: Eukaryota; Metazoa; Chordata; Aves; Passeriformes; Paridae. The transcript is spliced from 4 exons. The record is from RefSeq and is a predicted model, not a curated record.